Molecule: transfer RNA, 56 nt
Filed under: Cooperia oncophora
Lineage: Eukaryota; Metazoa; Nematoda; Chromadorea; Rhabditida; Trichostrongylidae
Description: tRNA-Gly
Source: RNAcentral
GUAGUUCUUUAGUAUAAAAAGUAUGUUUGAUUUCCAAUCAAAGGGUACAUAGAAUU